UGGCCCAGAUCGUUUACCGUGAAAAAAUUAGAGUGUUCAAAGCAGGCAGAUCCAAUUUUCUGCCACCGAAUACAUUAGCAUGGGAUAAUGGAAUAGGACCCUGUCCUCCUAUUUUCAGUUGGUUUUGGCAGCGCGAGGACUAGGGUAA
Molecule: ribosomal RNA, 148 nt
Filed under: Acanthamoeba sp. A5 DEA-2009
Lineage: Eukaryota; Discosea; Longamoebia; Acanthamoebidae
Description: partial 18S ribosomal RNA
Source: RNAcentral